GUCACGCUGUGACUAGCAUAUCAAUAAGCGGAGGAAAAGAAACUAACAAGGAUUCCCUCAGUAACGGCGAGUGAAGCGGGAAGAGCUCAAAUUUGAAAUCCUUAAAGGUCUACCUUGCACGAAUUGUAGUUUCAAAGGAAGUGUUUUCUGUGACGAUCUGGUAUAUAAGUUCUUUGGAAUAGGACAUCACAGAGGGUGAGAAUCCCGUCUAUGAUUGCAUAUUUGUAGCUUUGUGAUACACUUUCAAAGAGUCGGGAUUGUUUGGGAAUGCAGUCCCAAAACGGGAGGUAAAUUUCUUCUAAGGCUAAAUAUUGGCGAGAGACCGAUAGCGAACAAGUACCGUGAGGGAAAGAUCGAAAAGAACUUUGGAAAGAGAGUUAAAUAGUACGUGAAAUUGUCAAAAGGGAAGCGUUUAACACCAGUGUUGUUUUCUGAAAAUCAACCUCUGUUAGCUUUAUGCAUGUUUGUUUAGACCUAAUCAGCUAUCUUUCAUGUUCUAUUGUUUGCAGUGGUGCACUUUUCAGUUUACAGGUCAACAUCAGUUUUUUUUACCGUAAAAAAGUUAAAGAAAGGUAGCUCAUGGCUCCGGUCGUGAGUGUUAUAGUCUUUUUCCUAUGCGGUAGGAGAGACUGAGGUCUGCAGUGUAGGCUAUUUGGCUAGAUACUCAGGUGCUAUGUGAUACCAUUUCAUAAACAACUUGUUGAUUAUGUUUUGUCUAUUGCAUACUCGCUUGUACUAUCAUACCUACGCUUAGGAUGUUGAGUAGCGACAUACGCAC
RNAcentral lists this ribosomal RNA (778 nucleotides) under uncultured Neocallimastigales. Its description in RNAcentral is "partial large subunit ribosomal RNA". The stretch from base 3 to 668 matches the Rfam family "Eukaryotic large subunit ribosomal RNA", at positions 24 to 664 of the family's 3401-position model. The record is from RNAcentral. Lineage: Eukaryota; Fungi; Neocallimastigomycota; Neocallimastigomycetes; Neocallimastigales.